CCUUGAUCUCAUUAUCCAAGAACCCUGCAAGCCUCAUCUUUUUUUUUUUUUUUUUUUUUUUGAGAUGAGGAAACAAGUUCAGAGAGGUUAGUUUAAUUGUCCAAGGUCACAUAGCUAACAAGUGACAGGGCUGGGAUCCAAACCCAGGUCUGUCUGAGUCCAGUUCCUUCCACAUUGGGCCCUGGGCUGGCGAGACCAGGUGAGCACACUGAGUAGGCCUGAAUGGCCCCGAGGCUCCCCAGGGUUUUAGCUACUCCUGGGAUGAAAGCUGGUCUCUCUUGGGGGUCUGCUGACUUUUCCAGACCCUGGGGAUGUGCUGGGUGCAGUGAUGUGGAAGAGUCAUGUUUUAAGACAGUCCCAAUGGUCGGAAGAUUUCCCAAUGCCAGCGAAUCUAGUAAAGACAGAAGGAGUUUGGGUCUUGAGACAAGCUCAUUAGCACUCAUUCCGUUUGGGUGAAAUCAAUUAGGGCUAACUGGAAGGUACAGCCUCUGCUCUCUGUUGACUCUUGAAAUGAGAGACUGAUGGUGGCUACCAGUUAUCACGGAGGCAUGCUGAGGGGCAAAGACUCUGAUGACAGAGUCUAGGCUGUGAAUCCUGCCCCUGCUGCUCUGUGGCCAGUUGCUUGGUAGGAGGACUCUGCAGGGUUCUGGAGGGUGACCGUGUGUGUCACCUAAGACCCCUGUGGGUCUCAGGCAACUCAGAACGGACUGGGCCUUGCAGGUUCCACCCGGCCUGACUGCCCAGGCCUGCGCCAGAGAACGACCGGGCGACGUGCCCAGUGACGGCACAAAGGAAGAGCCUCACACCCCGGGUUACACCCAGGGUUACGCAGAGCAGCAUGACACUGUGACCUUGUCUUCGGUGCUUUUACCAUCUGCUGGGUGCUGCCUACUAGACUACAAGCUCAGUGCGGGAGGCCUUUUCUUCUCUCUUCUUGUUUCCGCUGUGCUUGAGUGGGUUACCUGAGGUUGGCUGACAGAUAUGUCUGGAUCCUCCAGGACUGGACACGUCAGUGGGAGUUAGAAGCCCAGCAAGAGGAAACCAAGGCAUUAGGAAGAGUACGUUUUAGGAUCAGGUAAAAACUAGCUGCCAGCACAGGGAGGGAAGCCUUGGUUUUCCCAUCUGUGGACUGAGGCGAUGAGCAUGAGGUCGUGCAUCUAAGUGCUUAGCAGAAUUCUCGGCACAUAGCGCCCACCGGAGUGAGUGCAUAGCGCUUCUACAACCACCCCCGGCGCCUUGCGUGGUUCUUCAUGUCUCCGUGGGAACUUUUACAUUUUUUUUUGACUGUGACCCACACCACAACCUUCUAAUGUGUGUGCAUGUCUCUUUAAAUAUAACCGAACUAUAAAUUUUGUGAACUAAGACCCUUACUAUGUGUGAUGAACUUUGACGGUUUGCAUUGUGUUCAGUUUUGUUGAAAGAAUCCUGAAGGGGCAAAGGGUUACUUUCUGGGGUGACCGACAUAUUCUGUAUUUUGAUGAAGGUGGUGGUGGCAUGGAUGUCUUUGUCCAAAAUCGUUGAACUCUGUAUUAAAAUGGGUGCCUUUUAUUGCAUGUCAGUUAGAUCUCAGUAGAUUUGCAACCCUCUAAUUUUUAUUGAGAUACAAUUCACAUUUCACAAAACUCACCCUUUUAAAGUGGAUACUUAAGUGAUUUUUAGUAUAGUCACAGAGCAACUGUGACCACAGUCCAAGGUCAGAACAUUUUCAUUACUCCAGAAAGAAGCCCCGUACCCAUUAACAGUCACUUCCCAUCCCCCCAACCCUAGUCCCUGGCAACCACUAAUCUACUUUCUGUCUCUGUGGAUUCGCUGGUUUCAGUCUUGCGUGGCCGGGAGAGCAGCCUUUGAAGUUAGACUGGUUACUGGGCCUCUCAGGGGCCACCACUCACCACAACUGGGAUUUCUCUAUUUGGUCCUGGCACUGGGUGGUGAACUCCAAGAGCAUCAGAGACGCUGGCAGAUGACUCACACCCUGUGUCCCCACCUCCUUCCUACACAGACCCCAGGCCCGUUCAGUCCUCCGGAAGUGCCCCUUGCUCUCCUGGUGAAGAUCUGGACGAUGAUGCACCAGUGAAGGAGUGGAGAAUGGACUUUCCAAAGUCCAUGGGCAAACCCAUCACAGAAAUGCAAAGAAGUGAUACAUUCACAUAGAAAAUCUUCCCAUUCUUGCCCUCAUCUGCAGAGACACCCUCUCCGCAUGCUGCAGAGAAAUAUGGCAGUUGGCACAAAAACAGACACAUAGACCAGUGGAAUAGAAUAGAGACUCCAGAACUGGACCCACAAAAGUAUGGCCAACUAAUCUUUGACAAAGCAGGAAAGAAUAUCCAAUGGAAAAAAGACAGUCUCUUUAACAAAUGGUGCUGAGAACUGGACAGCAACAUGCAGAAGGAUGAAACUAGACCACUUUCUCACACCAUUCACAAAAAUAAACUCAAAAUGGAUAAAGGACCUGAAUGUGAGAUAGGAAACUAUCAAAACCCUAGAGGAGAAAGCAGGAAAAAACCUCUCUGACCUCAGCCGCAGCAAUUUCUUACUUGACACAUCUCCAAAGGCAAGGGAAUUAAAAGCAAAAAUGAACUAUUGGGACCUCAUGAAGAUAAAAAGCUUCUGCACUGCAAAGGAAACAAUCAACAGAACUAAAAGGCAACUGAUGGAAUAGGAACAGAUAUUUGCAAAUGACAUCAGAUAAAAGGCUAGUAUCCAAAAUCUAUAAAGAACUCACCAAACUCCACACCGGAAAAACAAAUAAUCCAGUGAAGAAAUGGGCAGAAGACAUGAAUAGAUACUUCUCUAAAGAAGGCAUCCAGAUGGCCAACAGGCACAUGAAAAGAUGCUCAAUGCCGCUCCUCAUCAGGGAAAUACAAAUCAAAACCACACUGAGAUAUCACCUCACGCCAGUCAGAGUGGCCAAAAUGAACAAAUCAGGAGACUAUAGAUGCUGGAGAGGAUGUGGAGAAACGGGAACCCUCUUGCACUGUUGGUGGGAAUGCAAAUUGGUGCAGCCGCUCUGGAAAGCAGUGUGGAGGUUCCUCAGAAAAUUAAAAAUAGACCUACCCUAUGACCCAGCAAUAGCACUGCUAGGAAUUUACCCAAGGGAUACAGGAGUGCUGAUGCAUAGGGGCACUUGUACUCCAAUGUUUAUAGCAGCACUCUCAACAAUAGCCAAAUUAUGGAAAGAGCCUAAAUGUGCAUCAACUGAUGAAUGGAUAAAGAAAUUGUGGUUUAUAUACACAAUGGAGUACUACGUGGCAAUGAGAAAGAAUGAAACAUGGCCCUUUGUAGCAAUGUGGUUGGAACUGGAGAGUGUGAUGCUAAGUGAAAUAAGUCAUACAGAGAAAGACAGAUACCAUAUAUUUUCACUCAUAUGUGGAUCCUGAGAAACUUAACAGAAGACCAGGGAGGAGGAGAAGGGGGGUGGGGAGUUACAGAGAGGGAAGGAGGCAAACCAUAGGAGACUCUUAAAAACUGAGAAUAAACUGAGGGUUGAUAGGGGGUGGGAGGGAGGGGAAAGUAGGUGAUGGGCAUUGAGGAGGGCACCUGUUGGGAUGAGCACUGGGUGUUGUAUGGAACCUAUUUGACAAUAAAUUUCAUACUUAAAAAAUUUAAAAAAGAAAAGAAAAACGUGGCAGUAAAAUAGUAUUUAUCUUGAUUUCUGAGAUGUGGGGCGGCCUCUUCAAUUUCACACAGGAGGCGAGUGCAUCUCCUGUCUCACCCCAGCCCUGGCCUGCACUGGGCCUGAAUCUUUCCCAGGGAGAGCUAGAAAGAAGUUCCCACACCCUGCGCCCCAGGCACGCCUGGCUUUGGGGAGCUGAGUGACAUACGUCUCAGGAAAAGUUCUUUCCCUAGUGUCACUGGUGGUGAGAGGAAGCUUUUUUCAACCCUCUCUGUUGUGACACGUUUACCAGUUUAUGGGGCACAUCUGGCGGCCUCUGGCUAGUGAGCAACUUCCCAGGUAGAGUCAUGGAGUCAGCUGAGCCCACAGGCCAAUGGGAAGGGAGUCUUUCCGCUGAGUUUGCACAUUCCCCAGCUGAAAAGUAAGAUUUCUGAAGAGUCCUAAUGAAGGCCCAAAGAACUGAAAGUACACAUCACACACUUAAUGAUACUUGUCAAGUUGAAUUAAACUUGGCUUUUGUGUAACCUGAAUGUCCUCACAUGCUCCGUGUUUCUGGGGUUACUCUUCCUCUAACAGACACACGAGAGGCUUGGAGGCUUGCGUAAACGUUGGGGUGCUCCACGAUGAGAGAAGGAUAGUUUGCAUCAUCUCUCUUCUCAAUUUCUGCUGCUCUGAUUCUCCGUCUUGCCCCUCUAGCUGUGAGGCUUUUUACCCCCGCAGAUGCUUUUCUCCCCAUGCUCCCCAAGACCCCAGUAACCAGGCUCUUUGUGAAACAGCCUUUCCUGAAGUCUUGUGGGAAACAGAAAGGCACUACAGCAUAGUCCUGGACAGGAAACCGUUUAAAAUUAAAUAAAUACAUUUAUGGAUAAACAAAACCUAGGAGAAUUCAUAGACAACAGAUCUGCACUGUAGGAAAUGCUAAAGAAGUUUUUUCAGAGUGAAAGGAAAUGAUACCAGGUCGAAAUUUGGAUCUUCAGGAAUAAUGAAAAGCACCAGAGAUAGUAAAUAUAAGAAUAAAUAUAAGGGGUGCCUGGGUGGCUCAGUUGGUGGAGUGUCUGACUUCAACUCAGGUCAUGAUCUCACAGUCCAUGGGUUCAAACCCCACAUCAGGUUCUGUGCUGACAGCUCAGAGCGUGGAGCCUGCUUCAGAUUCUGUGUCUCCCUCUCUCUCUGCCCUUCCCCUGCUCACACUCUGUCUCUAUCUCUCAAAAAUGAAUAAACAUUUACAAAUUAAAAAAAGAAUAUAAGAAAUCACUUUCCUCUCCAUUUCUUAAAAUACUUAUAAAUGUUUAAAGCAAACAUUUUUAAAGCUUCACUUUCUCUCUCUCUCUCUCUCUCUUUCUGGUGAGAGUUCGUGGGCAUGCAGGGGAGGGGCAGAGAGAGAAGGAGAGAGAACCCCAAGCAGGCUCAGUGCUGACAGUGCUGAUGUGGGGGCUCAAUCCAUGAGAUCACGACCUGAGCCAAAAUCAAGAGUCGGAUGCCCAACUGACUGAGCCACUCAGGUGCCCCAAAGCAAACAUUUUUUUAAAAAUAGAAUUUAGACACAUUAUUUUUAAGUUUAUUUAUUAGUUUUGAGAGUGGGGAGCAGAGAGAGAGGGAGACUGAGAAUCCCAAGCAGGCUCUAUGCUGUCAGUACAGAGCCCCAUGCAGUGUUUGAACUCACAAAACCUGAGAACAUGACCUGAAUCAAAAUCAAGAGUCAGACGCCCAGGUGCCCCCAAAACAAACAUUUUAACAUUGUAUUGUGAGGUUUUUAACUUACAUAGAUGUAACACUUAAUACAUAUUUUGCAUGAAGUGGCACAAUAUUAAUUCCAAAUAGACUGAAAUGUUAUGGAUAUAUAUUAUAUUUCUAUGGUGAUCACUUCUUAAAAAUGCAAAGAAGUAUAACAAAAAAGCUAAUUGAUAAAUGAGGGUAGGUUUCUAAUAAAUAAUCAAUUAGCCCGAAAAGAAGGCAAGAGAGGAGGAACAGAGGAAACAACAACAACAACAACAACAACAACAACAACAGGAGAUAAAGAGGAAAAAAAAUAGUAAAAUGGUAGACCAACAUUCAACCAUAUCAGUAAUUACAUUAAGGUUACUAGUCUAAAUCACUUCAAUUAAAAGGCAGAAUCUGCCAGAUAGAAAAGCACAGCCCAACAAUACUGUCUAUGAGGGACACAUAAAAGACGUUGAUAGGAAGCAGAUGAGAAAAGAUGUAUCAUGCAGACAGUAAGGAUAAGAAAGUUGAAGUGGCUAAAUUAAUAUAAAAUGAAGUAUUAAGAUGGAGACAAUCAUCAGAGAUUAAAAAAGAAACCUCAUAAUAAUAAAUAUCACCAGGAAGGUAUAAUAAGCAUACAUUACAGAGUUUCAAAAUACAUGCAGGAAAAACUAACAGAAUGACAGAAAUAAAGGGAGAAAGACACAAAUACACUAUUGUAGUUGGCCAUUUUAACACCACUCUCUCAGCAAUUAUAAAAAACAACUAGACAAAAAUCAGUAAAUACGUAAAAGAUUCGAACAACACUUUGAACCACCUCAAUCUAAUAAAUAUUUAUGGAACAAAGUACCCACCAGAAUACACAUUAUUUUCAAGUUUAAGUGCCCUUGAUAUAUUCACCAAGGUAAAUCACAUUCUGGGCCAUAAAACAAAUCUCAAUAAAUUCAAAAGGGCUAAAAUCAUAUAGAGUAUGUUAUCUGACGACCAUGGAGUUAAAUUCCAAAUCAAUAACAAUGUAUGUAGAAAACCCCAAAUACUUGGAAAUUAAGCAGCACAGUUCUACACAACAAAAAGUCUAAGAAAUCCCAGAGAAUAUUAGAAAAUAUUUUUAUUUGAAUGAUAAUAAAAAUAAAACAUACCAAACUUUGCAAGAUGAAACAAAGCAGUUUUUAGAGAUGUAUUUAAAGCUGUAAAACCUAAUAUUGGGGAAAAAAGGCCUAAGUUUCACUUUCGGAAGCUAGAAAAAGAAGAGCAAAGUAAACCUAAAGUAAAUGAUAGGAAGGAAAUGAUACAGAGAAGAACAGAAAUUAUAAAAUAGAAAGCAGAUAAAUAAUACAUUUAGCAAAGCCAAAAGUUGGUUAUUUGAGAAGGUAACAAAAUUGAUUAACCCCUAGCCAGACUGACCACCUUCCCCCUGCCCCCCAAUAAAAGAGAGAAGACAGACUACCAAUAUCAGGAACAAAAGAAGGCAUAUCACUGUGCUAAAGAUAUUAAAAGGCUAUUAAAAGGAUGUCAUAAACAAGUCUAUGCCAAUAAAUUAGACAAUGUAGAGGAAAUGGACAAAUUCCUUGAAAAUUACACCUUCCAAAACUUAUAUAAGAUAAAAUAGA
Molecule: long non-coding RNA, 6924 nt
Organism: Panthera uncia (snow leopard)
Lineage: Eukaryota; Metazoa; Chordata; Mammalia; Carnivora; Felidae
Exons: 3
Source: RefSeq, a predicted model, not a curated record